RNAcentral lists this ribosomal RNA (730 nucleotides) under uncultured bacterium. Its description in RNAcentral is "bacterial SSU rRNA". It matches the Rfam family "Bacterial small subunit ribosomal RNA", at positions 771 to 1501 of the family's 1533-position model. The record is from RNAcentral.
AACAGGAUUAGAUACCCUGGUAGUCCACGCCGUAAACGAUGUCGACUUGGAGGUUGUUCCCUUGAGGAGUGGCUCCCGGAGCUAACGCGUUAAGUCGACCGCCUGGGGAGUACGGCCGCAAGGUUAAAACUCAAAUGAAUUGACGGGGGCCCGCACAAGCGGUGGAGCAUGUGGUUUAAUUCGAUGCAACGCGAAGAACCUUACCUACUCUUGACAUCCACGGAAUUUGGCAGAGAUGCCUUAGUGCCUUCGGGAACCGUGAGACAGGUGCUGCAUGGCUGUCGUCAGCUCGUGUUGUGAAAUGUUGGGUUAAGUCCCGCAACGAGCGCAACCCUUAUCCUUUGUUGCCAGCGAUUCGGUCGGGAACUCAAAGGAGACUGCCGGUGAUAAACCGGAGGAAGGUGGGGAUGACGUCAAGUCAUCAUGGCCCUUACGAGUAGGGCUACACACGUGCUACAAUGGCGCAUACAAAGAGAAGCGACCUCGCGAGAGCAAGCGGACCUCACAAAGUGCGUCGUAGUCCGGAUCGGAGUCUGCAACUCGACUCCGUGAAGUCGGAAUCGCUAGUAAUCGUGGAUCAGAAUGCCACGGUGAAUACGUUCCCGGGCCUCGUACACACCGCCCGUCACACCAUGGGAGUGGGUUGCAAAAGAAGUAGGUAGCUUAACCUUCGGGAGGGCGCUUACCACUUUGUGAUUCAUGACUGGGGUGAAGUCGUAACAAGGUAACC